AAUGACAGUUCAGUGCGCGAGA
RNAcentral lists this microRNA (22 nucleotides) under Pristionchus pacificus. Its description in RNAcentral is "ppc-miR-2238h-3p". Lineage: Eukaryota; Metazoa; Nematoda; Chromadorea; Rhabditida; Neodiplogasteridae. The record is from miRBase by way of RNAcentral.